Molecule: long non-coding RNA, 2393 nt
Organism: Pan troglodytes (chimpanzee)
Lineage: Eukaryota; Metazoa; Chordata; Mammalia; Primates; Hominidae
Exons: 14
Source: RefSeq, a predicted model, not a curated record
GACAUUCAGAUUUAUUGUUAACUUGCCAAUGAACUUCCCACAGACAAGAAUCAAAGCCAGAAGAACAAAACAGCCCCAGAUGUGUUCUACUCUAUUAUCCGAAGUAAAUGAAAAUCAACCCUGAGGUAGAGAACCUCCUUCUACUACCAUCAAAGUCCUUGAUCUGUUUCCCAACAUGAAUUAACCUUUCCAUGUUUUCGUUACAUUUGAACAUCAGGAAUGUGUAGACGGAAGCAGUUCAUCCUGGGAGUGAGGUUGGCUGUGUCACUUGUUCAAGGAAAGAGAAUGUGAACAGAAGGAAUACGUGUGUCCUCCAGGACUGAACUUAAAAAUUUGCCACACCUACUCCCCAAGAUUCCUUCUCCAACUGCCCAGUAGAUAGAUAUACUCAAGGUGACAUUGAAGAUGAGAGUGAUCUGUUGGUCCAGGUCAUGAGUGGCUGGUGGAACUUCAGCCCUGAUCACCCUCAUCCUUAGACAACACGUGAGAAAGGAACUGCUCCUGACUUCAAGCAGUAGAAUGAGGCCAACCUGCAAAAUUGACCUGUCAUGCCCUGCCUCACCAUCUUAUCCAGUCCUGGACUCAACCAGCUGAACUAAUCCCUAAACCACCAAGUCUACCUUAGAAAAACAGUUCUGGAGGCUGCAAGUCCAAGAUCAAGGUGUCACCAUCAUUGGUUGCUUCUGGGGGCUGUUGAGAAAGAACGUGUUCCAUGCCUCCCACCUAGCAUCUAAAGGAAGCCAAGUUUCUGUCAGCAUCCCAACCUCAUUUCCAAACUGUCAAUAAUUGUGAAGGGUCUGAGAUUUUACUCUACCUGCAAGUUAAACAGCUAGACUGCCACAAUUUCAUGGAUGCUGGCAGAAGACGUGAGACUCCUGGGUCAGAGAAAGAGAACUUCACUGACUCACACAACUAUAGCACCUGACCAAGGGCCUACCACAGACCACCCUCUUCCAUCGUAUGCCUUCUUUUAACCUAACCUGGGACAGAGCUGGGAAGUCUUUGCCUUGGCGUGGCUGGAAAUAUCAGGGAGAAGAAAUUUGGAAGAAAGAAGUGACAUCUUAUUGAUGAGUUGUGGAGAAGCUGCUGAACAUGCAUCUGUGUUUGGGAGACUGUCUGCAGAGAGUACAUAUUCUCAGCUCCUACAAGCUAUAAAGCACUUAGGAUCCAUUGUGUCAGAGCGUAUGACAGGGACCAUCAACUCAACAUUUCCUACUAAAUACGGGCACAAUGAUGACCUUGAUAAGAACCGUUUGAGUGGAGUAAACACUGACUGCAGUGAGUUGAAGAGAAAAUAAGAGGUGGAAAAAAUACAGAUACAUACCGGAUAAGAUUUUACAAUACCUCAAAGGCUUAUUUCUGAAGGUAGUCAACUGAGGACUGUCCUAUAAAAAUUAAGGGGCAGAUUCACUGUGAGACAAAGCUAUCUCCAAGUAAUCUCAAGCAAAAUCAGAAGUGAAAAAAAAGUAGAAAUGAGGGCUGGCAUAGAAGGUCCUACACCCCAUCCUCCAUUCUUUGAGCACCCUAUCCUCCCUCCAUUCUCUCCUCAUUCUUUGAGAAGACAGUGUGGCAGUCCUCCCAGAACAAUUAUCUCUGUUUCUGGGCAGAUUCAGAGCUAUUGCUGGCUGGAAAACACCCACAUAAUGAAUGCACCAUACCUGCUCCCAGGACUGGGCUUGCAAGACCCUACAGAGGUGGCCUUUCAGUUGCAUUAUAAUUCAGGCCCUAGGCACAGUGCUUGUUCCCCAGUGAGUUUGCUAGUAAAACAAUCAUUUCCCUGGUCCACUCCUACCUUGUAGACAUCCAGCUCUCCACACUGCUGGUCGAAGCGAGUGUACAGUGCAUUGAGCAUGGUGAUGACCUGCAGCGGUGAGCACUGGGAGCAGAUGGCAGUGAACCCAACGAUGUCUGAGAAGAGCAUGGUGACAUUACUGAACUUCUUGGCUUGCACAACUUGCCCUUGCCACAGCUGCUGAGCAACCUCACAGGGAAAUAUGGAGCACAGAAGAUCUACUGUCUUUUUCUUCUCCUCCUCCAGGGCUUGGUGGGCUUGCUCAAGGGUAGCCUUCAGCUUCCCCAGCCUCUUCUUCAGGCCAUCUUGAGCUCGGGCUUGUUCCCCUAUUAAGACCACAUCCCUCAGUGCAUUGUGAAUUGGGAUGUCUGAGAGGUAGAGCCCUCGUCCUGUAAAAUCUUCUAAUCUGUCCACACAGGGUGACCCCAAAAACAAGAUUGCACUGGAUUCAACAAUGUAGAUCAUUUGGCCUUUGAGGUCCAUAACCUAUGAAGGAAAGGAUAACCAAUUGUGGUUUAUUCAAGUUUCCCACAUCUUUCUGAGACAAAAGAAGGGGAAGUAGAUACAGUAAUAAACCCUUUGUGUUUAAACCUGCUGAAAA